This 451-nucleotide ribosomal RNA is filed under the name uncultured organism. Its description in RNAcentral is "partial 16S ribosomal RNA". It matches the Rfam family "Bacterial small subunit ribosomal RNA", at positions 332 to 799 of the family's 1533-position model. The record is from RNAcentral.
UACACUCCUGCGGGAGGCAGCAGUGGGGAAUAUUGGCCAAUGGGCGCAAGCCUGAUCCAGCCAUGCCGCGUGAGUGAUGAAGGCCCUAGGGUUGUAAAGCUCUUUCACCGGUGAAGAUAAUGACGGUAACCGGAGAAGAAGCCCCGGCUAACUUCGUGCCAGCAGCCGCGGUAAUACGAAGGGGGCUAGCGUUGUUCGGAUUUACUGGGCGUAAAGCGCACGUAGGCGGACUAUUAAGUCAGGGGUGAAAUCCCGGGGCUCAACCCCGGAACUGCCUUUGAUACUGGUAGUCUUGAGUUCGAGAGAGGUGAGUGGAAUUCCGAGUGUAGAGGUGAAAUUCGUAGAUAUUCGGAGGAACACCAGUGGCGAAGGCGGCUCACUGGCUCGAUACUGACGCUGAGGUGCGAAAGCGUGGGGAGCAAACAGGAUUAGAAACCCUGGUAGUCCCAUG